Molecule: long non-coding RNA, 450 nt
Organism: Ochotona princeps (American pika)
Lineage: Eukaryota; Metazoa; Chordata; Mammalia; Lagomorpha; Ochotonidae
Exons: 3
Source: RefSeq, a predicted model, not a curated record
CCUCGCGUGGCUCCUCCCUCCGCGCCGGGCCUUCUUUCUGCCUCUGUCGGAGUCACAAGAUCGCUCUGCGACCUGCUUUCGGGAUCCUUCCGCCGUCCCCGCCCCCCUCCCUGGAAAACGCUCCCCGUGUGCCCGGCGGCGCAGCCGGCACCGUCCGGGAUGAGGGGCCAGGCCCGCUCGGUGCGGCGGGGCCGAGGCUCGCGCCCGGCCGGGCAUGGGCGAGCUGGCGAGGCGGCGCCCUGCCGGGGACUCUUUUUCGUGGCGGAGGGCGCAGCCGGCAGCGGACGUUUCACCACAGGGGGAGGUGCUGGGCGUCCAAGAUGGCGGCGCCCUGUAGGCUGGAGGAACUGUGAGGGACCAUGAAAGACCCCAGAGUGACAGCCCUGGAAACCGAAGUGCCAGCUGUCCACCGAGCAGACUGCUCGUGGCCCAAUGAAGAGCGUGCAGAGC